GCGCAAGAAUUUUAGUCGGUGCAAGAAUUUUACUUGGUGCACACCGAGCAAAUAAUUUCAGAUACUGCUUGGUGCAGGUUAUAUUUUUUUAACCUCAUAAUUUUAUAAGGAUCAUAAAAGACUAAUAUUAAAAUAUCUAAAAGCUUUCUAUUAAAGAAAAAUACUUUUCACCAAGUAAUUCCACUUGGUGCAGCACCGAGCAAAUAUGCUUGGUG
RNAcentral lists this long non-coding RNA (215 nucleotides) under Mytilus galloprovincialis (Mediterranean mussel). The record is from RNAcentral. Lineage: Eukaryota; Metazoa; Mollusca; Bivalvia; Mytilida; Mytilidae.